GAUUUCUCAAUGGAAGAGGAAUGGAACCUCUGAGGACAGGGACUGUUUCUUGAGCCAUAUUACAGGUCCACAGCCCGGCUCUUAUUUGACUGCAUGUUGAGCUCCGUCAACUGUCUAGCAAAUGAAAGAUGUUCCAUGGGGAUUUGUGGAUCAAGGAAUGACGAGAUGACCACAAGAUAACCCAGGCUCAACAAGAUGAC
RNAcentral lists this long non-coding RNA (200 nucleotides) under Cricetulus griseus (Chinese hamster). RNAcentral's name for it is "lncRNA (ENSCGRG00000024573.1)". The record is from RNAcentral. Lineage: Eukaryota; Metazoa; Chordata; Mammalia; Rodentia; Cricetidae.